AAAUUGUUUUGGCCUCUGAAAUUCGUACUGUGAAAGAAUAUGAAGCUUAUGAUACUAAAAUGCAGAAUGCAGGAGCACAUGAGAAGUCACCUUCAAUUAUAGGGAAAAAACGCAAAAAUAAGAUUGCCAUGAGCCCUCCUGGAAUUUUUCCCUUCGAAAAUUUGGAGUCAACUGCUGAGAAUGAUUUAGAAACUCCACAUGGUGAAAAUGCUUGUGGUCCAACAACUAAUAUUUUAGCAUUGGAAUCUGCCGAUAGAGUUGAAAAUAGCACUCAGCAGGAUGAUGAAUUAGUUCCUACAGACAAGGUUCUUGCAGUUAAACAGUCUCUCACUAAAAGCAGAAUCCAAAGGGAUACAAAAGGCAAGUCUAAGGUUUUAUCUGAUGGAGAUGCAAAUGAA
RNAcentral lists this unclassified non-coding RNA (398 nucleotides) under Hevea brasiliensis (rubber tree). The record is from RNAcentral. Lineage: Eukaryota; Viridiplantae; Streptophyta; Magnoliopsida; Malpighiales; Euphorbiaceae.